AAACUGCGACAAGUAAUGUGAACUGCAUUAUCUGUGAAUCAUCGAGUCUUUGAACGCAUCUUGCACUCUGCUUUGCAGAGUAUGUCUGUUCGAGCAUUGGAACUUUAUAUGCUACCACAGGUGGUGUGUUGACUGUACAAUUGUUGGCGGUUGAAAAGCAUGGGGAGAAUAGAAUAUGUGGUGGUCAAUCCAGUUCAUAUAACCCCUUAAAACUUCACCGAUCUCGAAUCAGACAAGACUACCCGCCGAACUUAA
RNAcentral lists this unclassified non-coding RNA (255 nucleotides) under uncultured fungus. RNAcentral describes it as "sequence contains ITS1". The stretch from base 1 to 99 matches the Rfam family "5.8S ribosomal RNA", at positions 50 to 154 of the family's 154-position model. Lineage: Eukaryota; Fungi. The record is from RNAcentral.